GGCAAGAUCAUAUGCUCUUGCUGCAGCCUCCUCAUCAUCAUAUGCUCCUAAAUAAACUUGCUUUCCUUUCUUAUUUUGGUUUUGAUUCCAGGUACUUUUAUCCCAAAGAUGAGCUUCAUAACGACCAGUCCAUCUAUGCCUAGUGACACCACGAUAGAUGGAGCUGCGCUUCCCUGCAGUACAUGGGGGCAUUUUGCUUAUGCGCUCCUUGGCUGUAUAACCCCUUUCUUUUUUCGCUUUUUUCAGUCCUCUAUAUAAUAACAGUUGAUCAGUCCCUAUAUGCCCCAUAGCUUCUGAUGUUUCUCCACCACCAGCAUCAUUGCCACUGCUACCCUCAGUCUUGGCAGUAGGCUCAGAGGAAAGGGAAGCCAU
This 372-nucleotide unclassified non-coding RNA is filed under the name Hevea brasiliensis (rubber tree). Lineage: Eukaryota; Viridiplantae; Streptophyta; Magnoliopsida; Malpighiales; Euphorbiaceae. The record is from RNAcentral.